AAAAAAAGGAGAGCACGCCGUGUUGUUUGUUGUGUCUUCGUCAAUCCUCGCAUAACAGAGACUGAAAAGAGAGAGACAAGGAGAGAAAAUUGUUCGAUUGUUGGUGGCUCAGUUUCCUAGAGAUAGUGUCAUCCAAAGGUUCAAUUGGUUUUCCGGGUUGUAUGGGAUAAAUUUUGAGGUGAAACCUGUUAUUAAAAAUGUAAUUAUGGGUAUUGGCUUUUGAUGUCAGGAAGAACCCUCUUGGGAUGAGUUAUUGAAUUGGGUAAGUAUUGUGUUUUUAUUAAGCUUAUUGUUGGUGGGUUCUUGAACACGAGAUUUGCAAUGUUAUGGUGUAAUGACCCGAUUUUUCGGAACUAAUUAUUUGAAUUCUUAGACUUUAAUAAAGUGUGUAAAUUUAUUGAACCGCA
Argentina anserina (silverweed cinquefoil) is the source of this 407-nucleotide long non-coding RNA. RefSeq lists it as uncharacterized. The transcript is spliced from 3 exons. The record is from RefSeq and is a predicted model, not a curated record. Lineage: Eukaryota; Viridiplantae; Streptophyta; Magnoliopsida; Rosales; Rosaceae.